Molecule: ribosomal RNA, 1363 nt
Filed under: Salmonella enterica
Lineage: Bacteria; Pseudomonadati; Pseudomonadota; Gammaproteobacteria; Enterobacterales; Enterobacteriaceae
Also listed under: 2 other names
Description: partial 23S ribosomal RNA
Rfam family: Bacterial large subunit ribosomal RNA
Source: RNAcentral
CUACGGUGCUGAAGCAACAAAUGCCCUGCUUCCAGGAAAAGCCUCUAAGCCUCAGGUAACAUCAGAUCGUACCCGAAACCGACACAGGUGGUCAGGUAGAGAAUACCAAGGCGCUUGAGAGAACCCGGGUGAAGGAACUAGGCAAAAUGGUGCCGUAACUUCGGGAGAAGGCACGCUGACACGUAGGUGAAGCGGUUUACCCGUGGAGCUGAAGUCAGUCGAAGAUACCAGCUGGCUGCAACUGUUUAUUAAAAACACAGCACUGUGCAAACACGAAAGUGGACGUAUACGGUGUGACGCCUGCCCGGUGCCGGAAGGUUAAUUGAUGGGGUCAGCGCAAGCGAAGCUCCUGAUCGAAGCCCCGGUAAACGGCGGCCGUAACUAUAACGGUCCUAAGGUAGCGAAAUUCCUUGUCGGGUAAGUUCCGACCUGCACGAAUGGCGUAAUGAUGGCCAGGCUGUCUCCACCCGGGACUCAGUGAAAUUGAACUCGCUGUGAAGAUGCAGUGUACCCGCGGCAAGACGGAAAGACCCCGUGAACCUUUACUAUAGCUUGACACUGAACACUGGUCCUUGAUGUGCAGGAUAGGUGGGAGGCUUUGAAGUGUGGACGCCAGUCUGCAUGGAGCCGUCCUUGAAAUACCACCCUUUAAUGGCUGGUGUUCUAACGUAGACCCGUGAACCGGGUUGCGGACAGUGUCUGGUGGGUAGUUUGACUGGGGCGGUCUCCUCCUAAAGCGUAACGGAGGAGCACGAAGGUUGGCUAAUCCUGGUCGGACAUCAGGAGGUUAGUGCAAUGGCAUAAGCCAGCUUGACUGCGAGCGUGACGGCGCGAGCAGGUGCGAAAGCAGGUCAUAGUGAUCCGGUGGUUCUGAAUGGAAGGGCCAUCGCUCAACGGAUAAAAGGUACUCCGGGGAUAACAGGCUGAUACCGCCCAAGAGUUCAUAUCGACGGCGGUGUUUGGCACCUCGAUGUCGGCUCAUCACAUCCUGGGGCUGAAGUAGGUCCCAAGGGUAUGGCUGUUCGCCAUUUAAAGUGGUACGCGAGCUGGGUUUAGAACGUCGUGAGACAGUUCGGUCCCUAUCUGCCGUGGGCGCUGGAGAACUGAGGGGGGCUGCUCCUAGUACGAGAGGACCGGAGUGGACGCAUCACUGGUGUUCGGGUUGUCAUGCCAAUGGCACUGCCCGGUAGCUAAAUGCGGAAGAGAUAAGUGCUGAAAGCAUCUAAGCACGAAACUUGCCCCGAGAUGAGUUCUCCCUGAGACUACAAGUCUCCUGAAGGAACGUUGAAGACGACGACGUUGAUAGGCCGGGUGUGUAAGCGCAGCGAUGCGUUGAGCUAACCGGUACUAAUGAACCGUGAGG